Molecule: long non-coding RNA, 203 nt
Filed under: Lathyrus oleraceus (garden pea)
Lineage: Eukaryota; Viridiplantae; Streptophyta; Magnoliopsida; Fabales; Fabaceae
Description: Pisum sativum (pea) long non-coding RNA (PSAT_LNC002331)
Source: RNAcentral
GAGUUUUUCUAGAUCCAGUUCGACCAUGUAGCGUGUGAAAUUCACGUCUUUCAUGGUGGAAAUUUGUGGGGGAGAUGUACUCUUGGUUUUUUGCAAGUUUCAACUUCAGGCUAUCUUUGGUACAACGACCUUCCGUUGUUCAUGGAUAUUUUAAUAUUAGAUACAAGGUGGACAUGAUCGCUACUAAAGGAUAUUUCAAUGUU